UGGGGAAUUUUGGACAAUGGGCGCAAGCCUGAUCCAGCCAUGCCGCGUGCGUGAAGAAGGCCUUCGGGUUGUAAAGCUCUUUCGGCGGGGACGAAAUGGUUCGUGCCAAUACCACGGACUGAUGACGGUACCUGAAGAAGAAGCACCGGCUAACUACGUGCCAGCAGCCGCGGUAAUACGUAGGGUGCAGGCGUUAAUCGGAAUUACUGGGCGUAAAGCGUGCGCAGGCGGUUUGUUAAGACAGAUGUGAAAUCCCCGGGCUUAACCUGGGAACUGCGUUUGUAACUGGCAGACUGGAGUGUGGCAGAGGGGGGUGGAAUUCCAAGUGUAGCAGUGAAAUGCGUAGAUAUUUGGAGGAACACCGAUGGCGAAGGCAGCCCCCUGGGCUAACACUGACGCUCAUGCACGAAAGCGUGGGGAGCAAACAGGAUUAGAUACCCACGUAGUCCCUGAGCGGGCUGGCAAGGCGCAU
This 472-nucleotide ribosomal RNA is filed under the name uncultured bacterium. RNAcentral describes it as "bacterial SSU rRNA". It matches the Rfam family "Bacterial small subunit ribosomal RNA", at positions 355 to 825 of the family's 1533-position model. The record is from RNAcentral.